Molecule: ribosomal RNA, 449 nt
Filed under: uncultured bacterium
Lineage: Bacteria
Description: partial 16S ribosomal RNA
Rfam family: Bacterial small subunit ribosomal RNA
Source: RNAcentral
AGCGAACGCUGGCGGCAGGCCUAACACAUGCAAGUCGAACGAACUCUUCGGAGUUAGUGGCGGACGGGUGAGUAACACGUGGGAACGUGCCUUUAGGUUCGGAAUAACUCAGGGAAACUUGUGCUAAUACCGAAUGUGCCCUUCGGGGGAAAGAUUUAUCGCCUUUAGAGCGGCCCGCGUCUGAUUAGCUAGUUGGUGAGGUAAAGGCUCACCAAGGCGACGAUCAGUAGCUGGUCUGAGAGGAUGAUCAGCCACAUUGGGACUGAGACACGGCCCAAACUCCUACGGGAGGCAGCAGUGGGGAAUUUUGCGCAAUGGGCGAAAGCCUGACGCAGCCAUGCCGCGUGAGUGAUGAAGGUCUUAGGAUUGUAAAAUUCUUUCACCGGGGACGAUAAUGACGGUACCCGGAGAAGAAGCCCCGGCUAACUUCGUGCCAGCCGCCGCAGUAA